CAGUCGCCGCGGUAAUACGUAGGUAGCAAGCGUUGUCCGGAAUUAUUGGGCGUAAAGGGCUCGCAGGCGGUUUCUUAAGUCUGAUGUGAAAGCCCCCGGCUCAACCGGGGAGGGUCAUUGGAAACUGGGAAACUUGAGUGCAGAAGAGGAGAGUGGAAUUCCACGUGUAGCGGUGAAAUGCGUGGAGAUGUGGAGGAACACCAGUGGCGAAGGCGACUCUCUGGUCUGUAACUGACGCUGAGGAGCGAAAGCGUGGGGAGCGAACAGGAUUAGAUACCCCGGUAGUCCCUGUCUCUUAUAC
RNAcentral lists this ribosomal RNA (301 nucleotides) under uncultured bacterium. RNAcentral's name for it is "partial 16S ribosomal RNA". It matches the Rfam family "Bacterial small subunit ribosomal RNA", at positions 509 to 807 of the family's 1533-position model. The record is from RNAcentral.